UACGUAGGGUGCAAGCGUUAAUCGGAAUUACUGGGCGUAAAGCGUGCGCAGGCGGUUUUGUAAGACCGAUGUGAAAUCCCCGGGCUUAACCUGGGAACUGCAUUGGUGACUGCAAGGCUUGAGUGUGUCAGAGGGAGGUGGAAUUCCGCGUGUAGCAGUGAAAUGCGUAGAUAUGCGGAGGAACACCGAUGGCGAAGGCAGCCUCCUGGGAUAACACUGACGCUCAUGCACGAAAGAGUGGGUAGCAAACAGG
Molecule: ribosomal RNA, 253 nt
Filed under: uncultured bacterium
Lineage: Bacteria
Description: partial 16S ribosomal RNA
Rfam family: Bacterial small subunit ribosomal RNA
Source: RNAcentral